CCUAUAAGACUGGGAUAACUUCGGGAAACCGGGGCUAAUGCCGGAUAACAUUUAGAACCGCAUGGUUCUAAAGUGAAAGAUGGUUUUGCUAUCACUUAUAGAUGGACCCGCGCCGUAUUAGCUAGUUGGUAAGGUAAUGGCUUACCAAGGCAACGAUACGUAGCCGACCUGAGAGGGUGAUCGGCCACACUGGAACUGAGACACGGUCCAGACUCCUACGGGAGGCAGCAGUAGGGAAUCUUCCGCAAUGGGCGAAAGCCUGACGGAGCAACGCCGCGUGAGUGAUGAAGGGUUUCGGCUCGUAAAACUCUGUUAUUAGGGAAGAACAAACGUGUAAGUAACUGUGCACGUCUUGACGGUACCUAAUCAGAAAGCCACGGCUAACUACGUGCUAGCAGCCGCGGUAAUACGUAGGUGGCAAGCGUUAUCCGGAAUUAUUGGGCGUAAAGCGCGCGUAGGCGGUUUCUUAAGUCUGAUGUGAAAGCCCACGGCUCAACCGUGGAGGGUCAUUGGAAACUGGGAGACUUGAGUGCAGAAGAGGAAAGUGGAAUUCCAUGUGUAGCGGUGAAAUGCGCAGAGAUAUGGAGGAACACCAGUGGCGAAGGCGACUUUCUGGUCUGUAACUGACGCUGAUGUGCGAAAGCGUGGGGAUCAAACAGGAUUAGAUACCCUGGUAGUCCACGCCGUAAACGAUGAGUGCUAAGUGUUAGGGGGUUUCCGCCCCUUAGUGCUGCAGCUAACGCAUUAAGCACUCCGCCUGGGGAGUACGACCGCAAGGUUGAAACUCAAA
Molecule: ribosomal RNA, 790 nt
Filed under: uncultured Staphylococcus sp.
Lineage: Bacteria; Bacillati; Bacillota; Bacilli; Caryophanales; Staphylococcaceae
Description: bacterial SSU rRNA
Rfam family: Bacterial small subunit ribosomal RNA
Source: RNAcentral